AGGAGUCAGCAGGAUUUCUCCGAGGAAGUCACUGCAAAUGAUCAGGCUUCAGGGAGGCCCGGCCUGUAGCCCUUUUCUUUUUGUUAGGCAUUGCAUGUGACAGGGGUGCUUUUCCGGUCAAAGUCAAGGCACUUUUAUGUGCUUUGAAUAUUAUUAUGUCAGCUUCCUGCUACCAUGGUGAUUUACUAAACAGAGUCUGGGAUUUACUAGUCUGAGUAACAGGCGAUGGAAGCAGGUUCACUCUUUCAACCAGUAGAUCCAGUCUUCUGCACCUGCCUCUUCCCUCAACGGCUGCCUUCCGGCAACCCCGAGAACAGAGUUGGACAGUCCAUCCCUGGGAGACCCUGUCCCAGAACAUCUAGACUCCCAGGUUGGUCCUCUUUGGAACAUGAGAGGAUGUGGUUACAUUUGCAAUUGAAAGACAUCAUCUAGGGGGUAAAUGUGAAAGGAAAGGUCCAGGAAGGACCAGGGCAGAGGGCUCCCCUAUAAUUCUCUGAUGUUCAUUCCUUUGAACACCCUUAGCCAUGUAGACACAUUUGCAAGGAGAGAGUUUGCAAAGCCAUUAAUAGAAACAAAAGUAGUAAGGAAGAUCUGAUGUGACUCAACAUGCUGUUCACAUAAGAGAAACUAAUCUCCAGGCAGAAUGGCCUGUAACUGAUGCCUGUGUUCUGUUAUUGAAAGCCUCUUGGCAUUGCUUUGUUGCAUUCUGGAAUACACAAUUACAAGCACUGAAAUUAAAGAAGCAAAAAACAUUAACCAAUUCCAUAACUAUAACAAUAGAUACAAAAUAUUAUACAUGCUAGAUUCAUGUCAGUUCUCAAAACAGUCUUAACUGUCCUCAUUUCUGUACACACUUCACCAAUGACUCACUUUUACACUCUGACAAGUCACAUGACUUCCUUGCACUGUAUUUUCUGCAUUUACAGAUGGGAUAAAAAACAACUUUAAUGCUGUUGUAUGUUCAAGGAACCUAACCACAAAGUACUGUGAAUUCCUUGUAUAAAUGGUACUGUGCAGAAACAAGCCAGUUUAAAACCAAAACUAAACCAAAAGAAGCAUUAGCCAAGUCAGGAGUACCCCCAAAAUUCAGAGAUUACUGCAACUUAUUGCAUUAAAGUCUGGGCAACGUGUCUUCAGAGAGAACAUGCUACUUGUUUAGGGGUAGUUUGGCAUAGGCAGGAAGGUAUGGAUUUAAGGUUUAAAUCUUGGAUCUGCAAGUGAUGGUUGCACAAAUAUAUGUGACUUUGGGCAACUCACACUUAUGAAAUGGAGAUAAAGACAGCUACCUUACAGGGUAUUUGUAAGAAAUACAGAGAAACAUGAAGAAUACUUAGAACAUAGCAGAUGCCCAAGAAAUACAUCCUCUGUAUUUUCUGCAUCCUAUUUUCAGGUUAAUCCUGCUCCACUCCCCUGCCCCAUUAACUCAAGACUUCAUAUUGAUGGAGAAGUCAGCAGAGCAGCCAAGAGCAUCAGCAGCUGCCCAUUAGCCUUUACCCACUGCAUGGUUCAUUCAUUCAUUCAUUCAUUCAACAAGUAUUUCUCAAGCUUCUCCCACACGCCAGGCACUAGAGCUGAUCCCCUGCAGCUUUUCAGCAUUACCAGUAUCCACUGCUAACCAGAUCUGCUUGACCCCUCGAGUUCGCCUUUCUUCACUGGUUCCAGUGAAGAAACCCUGAGCCUCCCCCAGUCUAUCUUGGACAGUUGUGCAAAUUAAGCAUUACCGAACUCAUGGAGCAGCAUCCACGUCACGGCGCUUCCUUCUUGCUCGUCCUCCCUGCCUACAUGCACCUAGGGAAUCUUUCUGAGGUUAUGCUAAGCAAAGUGAAUACAGUAAAAUCCAAGAAUUAGAUUGAAGACCGAGUGAGGGGAGUAAAGGCUUCCUCCCCUCAUUGAGGACAGCAUCUGGCUAGGAAGUCAUGGGCCUCGUUAACAUUAUUAAUCACUCUAAUGCCAACAUGGUUGUAUUUUUAUUUGAUUUUCAAGGGGAUCUUGUAGAAAAAGGUUAUCUCCUUUUUACCAAUGAAGAAGCAAGAUCCAGAGGAAUUAAACCAUUUGACUGUGGUCACAAAGCCAGUGGGUGUCUGCACUAAGACCAAAAUUCAGUUCUCCUGACCCCCAGGCCUGUUUCCUCACAGGCUGGUGGCCCAGCCGUGCUGUCCAAUAGAAUUAUCUGUGUGAUGGAAUGUUCUAGACCUGUGCCAGCUAAUGCAGUAGCCACCCAGCUCAAUGUGCCUGUUGAGUACUUGAAAUGUGGUUAGUGUAACUGAGGACUAACAUUUUUUUUAAGUUUUAUGUAAUUUUAAUGAAUUUAAAUUUAAAUAGCCGCAUGUGACUAGUGGCUACUAUACUGGGCAAUGCAGAUAGGACCUUAAUGCUAAACCUAAGCUGCACAGAGAGGGCUUCCGGACCAGUCACUCCUGCCUUUCUGUAGUUACCUUCCCCCAGAGCCAACCCUUCUCCAUCCCAAGCCCCAGGCCCACAUGCAGCCAUUUGUAAAUAAUCACUGAGUGUCCCCAGAAAACUUGAAGAGGGAGCUAACUCUAGAUAGGGUCAGAGCCCAUAGGCUGCCCAUAGGGUCUGUUGAGGGCUAGGACCAAAAAGGCCAGCCCACCCAGAGAUGACUCCCACCUCCUAUGGGGCCUCAAUUUUCCCUAUCUGCCCCAGUACCUCCAGGUCAUGGCUUGGAAGGCAACGGCAAAUUUGUCACCAUGAAGCCAUUAUCAAGCUCAGAACUUAAUUAUCUGAUCAGCCACCUCCCUGGGUCCUAAGGGAGCAGACCCUAGGAAUGAGAGACAGUCUUUGAGAAAGAGAAAGAAACAUGGCAUUGACUGAAACAGAAGCACAGAUGAGAGGCCCCCAGUAGAGGCCAGUCCAAGGUCUUAUUUUAUUUGGCCAAUACUAACUGUGGGAAAAAAAAAUGUUUAAAUUCACUGGAUAUCCAAAAUUUAAACACAGUGAAAAUCUCCUAUAAACUCAUUUCCCCACUCCUGGAGCCUUGGGCUAUCUAGUAACGUCCAGUUCCAUUAGCAUCCACAGUAUUCAUCUCGCAGAGCAGUAGCAGCUGCUCUGUUGAGAUGGUGAGGAGCUAUUUCUGCACAGCCCCCACCACUGGUCCCCUGUAACAUCCUUCUUUACUCAUUCAUCUGACCUGACUGGCAUCUGCAGGCAUCUGGAGCUGUCAUCCUAGCACAGGGGGACAGACUUGGGCAAGGUGUCUCUGUGAGGGGCUGGGAUAACAGCACAGAACUACCUGUGUGUCUGGAGGCCCAGGACGUGCUGUGGGGGAGAUGGUAGAGAAAGGGGGUGCUGAAAUGGAGUGAGGAAUAGAGGGAGAGAGUUGUAACACACUAAAAUGUGACGGGACCACCUCCAUACUCCACCUCCUACCUGACUUGCAUUGAUAACUGCCAGAUGUUUCUUGGAACAUCUUGAUCUCCAGCCCCCAAACCCUUUUCUUCUACUUUCUUCCAGUACUUAGAACAAUGCCAACCACAUAGAAAGAACUCAAGAAAUGUGAAUUGUUCACAAUAAAAUGUACUCAAUUCAGAAUGCCUCCAUCAGACUCCCCCGGCUAUUGCUUCAACUUGUCACUCUCCCCGCUGAACGCUUCUGUAUUCUCCCUCCUUCUUAAGCUCACACUGAAUCUCUGCUGUCAUGUCCCAGUGAGAUAGGUUUUUUAAUUCCAGGCCUCCACCCAAGUGGCUGGCUGACCCAGCCAAAUGCUGGCACAACGUGGGAUGCAAUUCGCUCACUGUCUCUCAGCAUGGUCCUGGAAGCUGAGUCAAAAUUAUUAUCCAAACCAUAGCCUGGCAUAUGGCUUUAACACUUUUUCUUUCCUUCCUUUUGUCAUUCAGUCUGUUCACUUGAGAUAUUCUCCAUGCCAGUGAGGCAGAGAGCAGGGAAUUGGGGAAGGUCCCUAGGCCAUAAGGUCCUCUAAAAGAAGAACUGCAUUUUCUUCUUUUGCAGUCCUAGCAUCUAGCAGGGUCCGUGGCACAGAGGACGGGUUCUCAUGUAGACACAAGUGUGGCUAGAAGAAACAAUUUGAUUAACAGAGGCAAGCAGGAGAGAAAGGACCACUAGACUAAGGAUGAGUUCAGGACACAGGUUCAAAGCACAGCUGUGUAUUUUCCUACCUGUGUUAGCUAAUUCACUAAUCUGAGCUUCUCUUUUCUGAUCUAUGAAAAAUAAUUAAUAAUAUAAAUGCUGUUAUUGACUGCUACAAUCUUUAGGCAGUCAGACGACACUUGGCUGCAAAAAAGCAUAAAAAUUUUAGGAACAAUGACUCAUGAUCUCAAUCCUAGAAACUCAUUUUAAGGAAGUAAUUCAGCAGAAACAAACCCAUUCUGUACAUGAAGAAGUUUAUUCAAACUCUAUUCAAUAGCAAAAUACCUAACAUUACCUAACUAGCCACAAUAAGGAAAUAAUUAGUCACAAAUAAUAUUUAAACAUGACGGGAUAUUUUUCAACAAUAAAAAAUGAAUGUUUCUGAAGACUAAACACAGAAUCUCCUAUCCCCCUCAGUGCUGCUAGAGCGUUCCUUUAAGAACCAAAUCUGUUCCUGUUGCUGCCCUUAUCAAAGUUAUUCAAUGGUUAAAAAUUUAGUAGGUAGGGCAUGGUGGCUCAUGCCUGUAAUCCUAGCAUUUUAGGAGGUUAAGGUGGGAGGUUUGCUUGAGGCCAAAAGUUCAAGACCAGCCUGGGCAACAUAGCAAGACUCUUGUCUCUGUAAAAAAUAAGAUCAAUUAAAUUAGCCAGGUAUGGUUGUGCUCACCUGCAGUCCUAGCUAUUUAGGAGGCUGAGGUGGGAGGAUUGCUUGAGCCCAGGAGUUUGAGGCUGCAGUGAGCUACAAUUGUGCCACUGCACUCCAGCCUAGGUGUUAGAGCAACAUUAUGACUCAAAAAAAAAAAAAAAAAAAAAACUUACAAGUGGGAUUG
RNAcentral lists this long non-coding RNA (4931 nucleotides) under Macaca mulatta (Rhesus monkey). RNAcentral's name for it is "lncRNA (ENSMMUG00000051313.1)". Lineage: Eukaryota; Metazoa; Chordata; Mammalia; Primates; Cercopithecidae. The record is from RNAcentral.